CCUACGGGUGGCAGCAGUCGAGAAUCAUUCACAAUGGGGGAAACCCUGAUGGUGCGACGCCGCGUGGGGGAAUGAAGGUCUUCGGAUUGUAAACCCCUGUCAUGUGGGAGCAAAUUAAAAAGAUAGUACCACAAGAGGAAGAGACGGAGAACGCGGUGCGAGCAGCCGCGGGAAUACAGAGGUCUCAAGCGUUGUUCGGAAUCACUGGUCGUAAAGCGGGCGUAGGCUGUUUCGUAAGUCGUGUGUGAAAGGCGCGGGCUCAACCCGCGGACGGCACAUGAUACUGCGAGACUAGAGUAAUGGAGGGGGAACCGGAAUUCUCGGUGUAGCAGUGAAAUGCGUAGAUAUCGAGAGGAACACUCGUGGCGAAGGCGGGUUCCUGGACAUUAACUGACGCUGAGGCACGAAGGCCAGGGGAGCGAAAGGGAUUAGAUACCCUAGUAGUC
This 446-nucleotide ribosomal RNA is filed under the name uncultured bacterium. RNAcentral's name for it is "partial 16S ribosomal RNA". It matches the Rfam family "Bacterial small subunit ribosomal RNA", at positions 338 to 795 of the family's 1533-position model. The record is from RNAcentral.